GUUCUAGGACUGAUCUAAUAAUUCUACAAUAAAAAGUAGUAAGACCUCUAGUGGAAAUCCCGGCCCAGUAGGUACAUGCAGGCACUUUACAUGCAGAGCAUCACAAAAUUAGCAAUAUUCCAGGAUUUCGUUGCGAAAUGUUGUAGAAUGCGGAUAAUAUAGCCUUGCGAAGUUUGCAAUUUUCACCAUUUUGUAUUACGCGG
Paramuricea clavata is the source of this 203-nucleotide non-coding RNA. The record is from the annotation of a GenBank genome assembly. NCBI's taxonomy places the organism in Eukaryota, Metazoa, Cnidaria, Anthozoa, Malacalcyonacea, Plexauridae.